UUUUAUUCAUUUUUUUUAUUAAUAUAAUAUAAUAUAAUAUUCUACUUAGAUUUUUAAAUAAAUUUAUCAGAAAAUAAGGCAAAAAUAUCCCAAUGCAUAAAAUGAUUGACAAGAGUGUUUCUGAUCUGCUAAAAAAGCAUUAGUUCCUCCUGAUAUGAUGUAUAUGAUAUGAUAUAUGAUAUAAAGAUCUCCUUAAAAAUACAUUUAUCUUGUUUUAAGCAUGCUUAGGUAUUAUUGCUAGAAAUAAGACAAAAAAAUACCCAAGAUGUAUGUGAUUUUUUUAAUUUUAUUUUUUAUUUAUAGAUGAAACACACACACUUCUUUGUGCCUGCUCUUGUUUGCCUCUCAUACAUUCUGUGUUCUUGAACGACCGUGUCUUUGUGUGUAUCUCUGAUAAGAGAUGGCCACUCUUCACAAUCACUGAUUAUAGAUCGGCCUUCAGAGAUACUGUCAGCUACUGAUCCCACAUCACAGCACAGCAGACGCCCUCCCACUACACGUCUAUCUGACUGAUCUGAGAGCAGCUGGCACUGAAGAAAAAGGGACAGGAUGAUGGCUGAGCUCAUGUGAAGAUGCUCAGAGUGGAUAGACACACCUGUUUAAAGAGUUUAGCUUUAAACUUUCAUGCUUAAGAUGUCACAAAACGGCAGCAAACUUAGAUCAGAAAAUGCUAUUUUGUGGGUUGAUCACAGCUCGCUGUGACCCGUUUUGCGAUAUGGUUCUCACACUGUGGUUUUACCAUUUCAGAGCGUUUAACGUGACACAUCUCAGAAUGAAACUGGCGUGAGGUCAACACUUGCUUUAAAAAACAUCACGCACCUGUAAUUUGAGCAAAUCUAUAUAUACAUACACACACACACACACACACACACACACACACACACACACACACACACACACACACAAACCCACUUAUUUCUAUAUAUAGCAGGUGUAUCAGCAUCAUCCCCUGAACAGUCAUUAAAACAACAGGGGAAUGUAAGAAUGAAACUGACAUUUAGACCCUCAUCCACACAGAAUAAGACUCUUAGUUAUUUUAUGAUUGUUCAUAUACUGAAUUACUUGUGUUACUACAUUCAUUUUAGCAUUGUAGCAGUUUGCAUUUUUAAAUAGUAGAGCUAAGUAUAAACAUGCUAUUGUUUUUUUUUUAUUUCUCCUUUAUUUGAACAAAAGUGAAAGUGACUGAAAGU
Long non-coding RNA from Cyprinus carpio carpio, 1190 nucleotides. NCBI's taxonomy places the organism in Eukaryota, Metazoa, Chordata, Actinopteri, Cypriniformes, Cyprinidae. The record is from Ensembl.